Molecule: microRNA precursor, 80 nt
Filed under: Alligator mississippiensis (American alligator)
Lineage: Eukaryota; Metazoa; Chordata; Crocodylia; Alligatoridae
Also listed under: 1 other name
Description: microRNA ami-mir-302d precursor
Gene: ami-mir-302d
Rfam family: mir-302 microRNA precursor family (bases 3-72)
Source: miRBase by way of RNAcentral
CCCCUCUACUUUAACAUGGGAGGUACUUGCUGGAUGCUUGAAAAAGUAAGUGCUUCCAUGUUUUAGUUGUGGUGAAUCCU